This 1200-nucleotide long non-coding RNA is filed under the name Callithrix jacchus (white-tufted-ear marmoset). RNAcentral describes it as "lncRNA (ENSCJAG00000079103.1)". Lineage: Eukaryota; Metazoa; Chordata; Mammalia; Primates; Cebidae. The record is from RNAcentral.
GACAAAGAGAGACUCCAACUCCCUUGUCAAAGAACAGAAAGUUCUCACUUUGGGGUAGCGGGAGGGAGGGAGGGAGUUCAGGAGCCUCUGGUUUUACCUAAACACAGGGGGCAUCUGCGGCUCCUGUGCUUUCCUGGAUGUGAGGAGGGGUGUGAGUCCGGGGGCCUCUCUGAGGGAGACAGCCGUGGGAGGGUGAAGAUGCGGUUCCUUUUCCUCCCCAGGGCCCCCACCCCCUGUCCCAGCGAUCUCGACACCAGAGACACUGCAGUGACGCGCCUCUGGGGCUUUCACACAGCGGGCUCGUCCCCGCGGGUGCGCUGUGCAGGCGGUCGGCAUGCCUGCUCUGUGGCAAGGUCAGAUUUAACUUGCUAAAUGUUACAGCGAACUUCAACUCUAAGACAAGACCCAGGGCCAGGCUGCAGGCCGAGAACUGCUCAAAGUCCCCCACAUUUGCCUCUGACGAAGGGAGAUGUGAUGAAGAGAGAAAUCCCCACAGGGUCUUCCCUAGUUCAGCAAUCCCCGAAGCAAGAUGUGAGGACCCUUCCAGAAGGAGGAUCACUGAAUCAGACCAUCCCAUCUGUCCCAGAGAGACGGCUGAGUGCCAGGAAGAAAAUGCAGUAAGGCCAAAAAAUGAAAGAUGUGAUAUAAACCUUACAAAAGAGGAGGUAAAACGUCUGUUUGCGCACAGCUGCUCACCUGGAGGACUCAACUCAAGCCAGCAGACUGCCUGGUCAGCGGACUCCCCAGGUGCGACCAGAGCAGGAGGCGCCCGCACCUUUCACACCAGGUGGAACCUGGCACUGACCCCGACGUUUAGAACAGGCUGGCCCCACGGUAGGCGUCAGAAAAUAUUUCCUGAUGUACUAAAGAAGCCACCAUUUAAUGUCCUGAAGUGUGAUUCAUGUGGAAGAUGUAAUAAUUCUGAACCUAAAUGCACCCCAAAUCAUACAGAUGCCUCAAAACAGAGCAAAAGUGGACAGAAUCCUCACCAGGUGACAGGAGGCAGCCCCAGUGACAGCAGGAGUUUCUGCAUGCACCUCUCACGAGUGAGCAUUAUAGGAACGAUUCGCUUAGAAAGUGAAAUUCCUGCAUAAUAUCAUCAUCUCAGGCACAAGCUGCAAAAUGGUUGGAAAUACCCAGAUGUCCUUUCAUUGACCUCAAGAAAUCACUGCAUUCUUAACAAACCCAGAUACUUCCCGG